This 110-nucleotide transfer RNA is filed under the name Lachnellula cervina. It matches the Rfam family "tRNA". Rfam says of the family: Transfer RNA (tRNA) molecules are approximately 80 nucleotides in length. Their secondary structure includes four short double-helical elements and three loops (D, anti-codon, and T loops). The record is from Rfam by way of RNAcentral. Lineage: Eukaryota; Fungi; Ascomycota; Leotiomycetes; Helotiales; Lachnaceae.
GGUGGCUUGGCCGAGCGGUUAUGGCGCUAGUUUCAGGCUUAACUGAAGCAGAUAUACUCUGUAUAUAAUACUAGUUCGAAAGAGCGUGGGUUCGAAUCCCACAGCCAUCA